AGGUGAGUAACAUCUCACUAAGGUCCACUUUCGGACCAAUUAUUAUAAUUAUGAUGAUGAUGAUGAUGAUGAUUUUUAUGAAGAUGAUUAUGAUGAUGAUUGUGAUGUUGUUUGUGAUGAGGAUGAUGAUGAUGAUUUAAUGUUAUGCUUUUUAGAUAAGUGUGAUGAUGAUGAUGAUGAUGAUGAUGAUUUUUAUGAGGAUGAUUGUGAUGAUGAUGAUGUUGUUGAUGAUGAGGUUGAAUUAAAGAAUUGGUUAUUGUUUGUUUUAAAAAUAUAUGAGCUUGAUCACCAACGGUUCAUAGGUAAGUUAAAACGAGUUAGAUAGUCAAACCGGGUUCCAAGCCUUUAAUCGGGUGAUUGGUUGCGGUUAUGAUGAUUCUACUCUUUUUGUGAAUUGUUGUGUAGAUAGUCAAACUGGGUUCCAAGCCUUUAAUCGGGUGAUUGGUUACAGUUAUGACGCUAUUAUUAUUUUGUGUUGUGAUAUUGGACAGUCAAACCGGGUUCCAAGCCUUUGGCCGGGUGAUUGGUUACGGUUAGGAAUAGAGCUCUAGUCCGUCUGUCAGUGUAGGUCAUGGGAGGUACCUGAAGGUAUCUGGGACCCAUGGGUACAUAAUUUGUGUUGUAGGUCAUGAGAGGUAUUUAUUAAUAUCUGGGACUCAUGGGUACAUGUGUUUGUAAGAGUAUUAGUUAUGUGGUGUUUAACCUUGUUCUUAAUUGUUGUCGAUGAAAUUCUUUGUUUUGAGUCUCUCCUGAACUAUGCUUAAUGCAGGAGAUUCUCCAAUUUAAAUGUGUGACUUUGAGUGGAAUUCCUGAACUAUCAUUUUUGCAGGAUCCACUUAUGAUUUGAUUGUUUUGGAAAUUGUUGUGUGUUUGUUCUUGUUUUACUCUUUUGAAUUUUAUUGUUUUGAGGUGAUUCCUGAACUAAGUUCUAAAGCAGGAAUUACCAGUUUUAUCUUGUGUGGUG
RNAcentral lists this long non-coding RNA (964 nucleotides) under Fragaria vesca (wild strawberry). RNAcentral describes it as "long non-coding RNA (FVES_LNC000225)". Lineage: Eukaryota; Viridiplantae; Streptophyta; Magnoliopsida; Rosales; Rosaceae. The record is from RNAcentral.